Long non-coding RNA from Lycium barbarum (goji berry), 673 nucleotides. RefSeq lists it as uncharacterized. The record is from RefSeq and is a predicted model, not a curated record. Lineage: Eukaryota; Viridiplantae; Streptophyta; Magnoliopsida; Solanales; Solanaceae. The transcript is spliced from 3 exons.
AAUAAGAGAAAAUGAAGCCCAAAAUUUUAGGGGUGGCCGGCCAUAGUGCCAAGGCCCAAGCCCAUGGAAUUUAAUUUUAUCCAUGUGAUAAAUAUGAAAAAGGGCCAUAAACUUCUUCAUUUUUCAAGAACUUUCAAGAAAGAGAAUGGAGAGCCAAGAACAAGGGGCCAUUUCGGCCAAGAGAGGGAGAAGAUGAAGAUCAAAAAUCUUGAUCAAAAAAAAUUAUUUCUUCUAGUAUUCCUACUAAUUCAAGGGUCCUCUUCAACGUGGUAUAAUUGUUGAGACAAGAGAACCGCUCUUUGUCGCAAAAUCACAACCCUAGCUAAGUGAGAAGUUGUGAAGGAAAGAUUUUGGAGCAUUUGGAAUUUAAAUUUGGAGUAGCGUAAGAAGCGGAAAAGGUACUCCCAGAUGAGUUGAAGAUAUUAUGGGAGAUGUUCCAGCGAAGAUGGCAAGCUCCAUUCGCUCCCGGAGGACUGCCGAGUCAGAAUAUAUGUGUUAAAGGUUUUGUUAAUGUUAGAGACUUUGCAGACAGAGUCGUGGGUAUGGUAUGUCGGUCUAGUAAGCGGCUCCAUCAGCCGAUAUGUCGUUUUGUAUCAUGUUAUAAAGUCUGUAUGAUUACAGAUUUGGUUGACUUGAAAGCUACAAUAUAUAUAUGUUUCAGUAAGUUUUACUG